RNAcentral lists this transfer RNA (74 nucleotides) under Lachnellula subtilissima. Its description in RNAcentral is "tRNA-Thr". It matches the Rfam family "tRNA". From Rfam's summary of the family: Transfer RNA (tRNA) molecules are approximately 80 nucleotides in length. Their secondary structure includes four short double-helical elements and three loops (D, anti-codon, and T loops). Further hydrogen bonds mediate the characteristic L-shaped molecular structure. tRNAs have two regions of fundamental functional importance: the anti-codon, which is responsible for specific mRNA codon recognition, and the 3' end, to which the tRNAs corresponding amino acid is attached (by aminoacyl-tRNA synthetases). tRNAs cope with the degeneracy of the genetic code in two manners: having more than one tRNA (with a specific anti-codon) for a particular amino acid; and 'wobble' base-pairing, i.e. permitting non-standard base-pairing at the 3rd anti-codon position. The record is from RNAcentral. Lineage: Eukaryota; Fungi; Ascomycota; Leotiomycetes; Helotiales; Lachnaceae.
GCCCUCGUAGCUCAAUGGUAGAGCGCGUCACUAGUACUAACAUGUCUACUGUAGUUCGAUUCCGUCCGAGGGCA